RNAcentral lists this transfer RNA (76 nucleotides) under Methylobacter sp. BlB1. RNAcentral's name for it is "tRNA-Thr". It matches the Rfam family "tRNA". Rfam says of the family: Transfer RNA (tRNA) molecules are approximately 80 nucleotides in length. Lineage: Bacteria; Pseudomonadati; Pseudomonadota; Gammaproteobacteria; Methylococcales; Methylococcaceae. The record is from RNAcentral.
GCCGAUGUAGCUCAGUCGGUAGAGCAACUGAUUCGUAAUUAGUAGGUCGCGGGUUCGAAUCCCGCCAUUGGCUCCA